RNAcentral lists this ribosomal RNA (492 nucleotides) under uncultured bacterium. RNAcentral describes it as "partial 16S ribosomal RNA". It matches the Rfam family "Bacterial small subunit ribosomal RNA", at positions 29 to 507 of the family's 1533-position model. The record is from RNAcentral.
AGUGAACGCUGGCGGUAGGCCUAACACAUGCAAGUCGAACGGCAGCACAGUAAGAGCUUGCUCUUACGGGUGGCGAGUGGCGGACGGGUGAGGAAUACAUCGGAAUCUACUUUUUCGUGGGGGAUAACGUAGGGAAACUUACGCUAAUACCGCAUACGACCUACGGGUGAAAGCAGGGGAUCUUCGGACCUUGCGCGAUUGAAUGAGCCGAUGUCGGAUUAGCUAGUUGGCGGGGUAAAGGCCCACCAAGGCGACGAUCCGUAGCUGGUCUGAGAGGAUGAUCAGCCACACUGGAACUGAACCACGGUCCAGACUCCUCAGGGAGGCAGCAGUGGGGAAUAUUGGACAAUGGGCGCAAGCCUGAUCCAGCCAUACCCCGUGGGUGCAGAAGGCCUUCGGGUUGUAAAGCCCUUUUGUUGGGAAAGAAAAGCAGCAGGUUAAUACCCCGCUGUUCUGACGGUACCCAAAGAAUAAGCACCGGCUAACUUCGUG